RNAcentral lists this ribosomal RNA (166 nucleotides) under uncultured bacterium. Its description in RNAcentral is "partial 16S ribosomal RNA". It matches the Rfam family "Bacterial small subunit ribosomal RNA", at positions 342 to 520 of the family's 1533-position model. The record is from RNAcentral.
GGGGAGGCCACAGGGGGGAAUCUUGAGCAAUGGAUGAAAGUCGGGCGAAGAAGCGCUUCGGGAGGGAAAAAGGUUUUCGCAGGGAAAACCUAUCUCAUCAGGGACAAUGUGAAAGUGACGGUACCUGCAGAAGAAGCACCGGCUAACUAUGUGCCAUCAGCCGCGG